GAGCAUAACAAGUCAGCUCAUGA
Molecule: unclassified non-coding RNA, 23 nt
Filed under: Mus musculus (house mouse)
Lineage: Eukaryota; Metazoa; Chordata; Mammalia; Rodentia; Muridae
Description: oocyte_clustered_small_RNA4903
Source: RNAcentral